RNAcentral lists this ribosomal RNA (434 nucleotides) under uncultured Coprococcus sp. RNAcentral's name for it is "partial 16S ribosomal RNA". It matches the Rfam family "Bacterial small subunit ribosomal RNA", at positions 341 to 792 of the family's 1533-position model. The record is from RNAcentral. Lineage: Bacteria; Bacillati; Bacillota; Clostridia; Lachnospirales; Lachnospiraceae.
ACGGGAGGCAGCAGUGGGGGAUAUUGCACAAUGAGGGAAACCCUGAUGCAGCGACGCCGCGUGAGUGAAGAAGUAUUUCGGUAUGUAAAGCUCUAUCAGCAGGAAAGAUAAUGACGGUACCUGACUAAGAAGCACCGGCUAAAUACGUGCCAGCAGCCGCGGUAAUACGUAGGGGGCAAGCGUUGUCCGGAAUGACUGGGCGUAAAGGGCGUGUAGGCGGCUUUUUAAGUCUGAAGUGAAAGUCCUGCUUUCAAGGUGGGAACUGCUUUGGAGACUGGAAGGCUUGAGUGCGGAAGAGGUAAGUGGAAUUCCCAGUGUAGCGGUGAAAUGCGUAGAGAUUGGGAGGAACACCAGUGGCGAAGGCGACUUACUGGGCCGUAACUGACGCUGAAGCGCGAAAGCGUGGGUAGCAAACAGGAUUAGAUACCCUGGUA